Molecule: ribosomal RNA, 484 nt
Filed under: uncultured bacterium
Lineage: Bacteria
Description: partial 16S ribosomal RNA
Rfam family: Bacterial small subunit ribosomal RNA
Source: RNAcentral
AUUGAACGCUGGCGGCAGGCCUAACACAUGCAAGUCGAGCGGAUGAAGGGAGCUUGCUCCUGGAUUCAGCGGCGGACGGGUGAGUAAUGCCUAGGAAUCUGCCUGGUAGUGGGGGAUAACGUCCGGAAACGGGCGCUAAUACCGCAUACGUCCUGAGGGAGAAAGUGGGGGAUCUUCGGACCCCACGCUAUCAGAUGAGCCUAGGUCGGAUUAGCUAGUUGGUGGGGUAAAGGCCUACCAAGGCGACGAUCCGUAACUGGUCUGAGAGGAUGAUCAGUCACACUGGAACUGAGACACGGUCCAGACUCCUACGGGAGGCAGCAGUGGGGAAUAUUGGACAAUCGGCGAAAGCCUGAUCCAGCCAUGCCGCGUGUGUGAAGAAGGUCUUCGGAUUGUAAAGCACUUUAAGUUGGGAGGAAGGGCAGUAAGUUAAUACCUUGCUGUUUUGACGUUACCAACAGAAUAAGCACCGGCUAACUUCGUG